ACUAGAGUUAUAGAGCUGCCAGAAUAGGAGAGGAGGGGGGGAGGAUGAUAUGCAAUUUUCAGAAACCUCAGUAAAAAUGCAUUUUUCUAUUCCUUUUUAUUCAUCCACAAAUUUCAAUUAUAAUGUGUUUCUACGGUGCUGCCAUUUCCCAAAAACACUUUAUGCCUUUGCAAGUAAGAUUGUAUCAUUUAAGCUAUUCUCUAAUGGAGAUCAAUAUGUAUUGAUCAAAUUGUUCUGUGGCCAGUAUUUUGCAGAUCGGGAUAUAUUCUGUGCUGGCCGUGUUACUGAGGAGGAUCUGCAGAGGGUGGCAGCUGCUACUGGUGGAACAGAACAGACAACUGUGAACAAUGUUAUUGAUGAGGUUCUUGGAUCAUGUGAGAAUUUUGAGGAGAGGCAAGUAGGAAAUGACCGGGUUCAACAUAUUUAGUGGAUGCCCAUCUGGCAAGACUGCUACCAUUGUUCUUCGUGGUGGAGCUGAUCAGUUCAUUGAAGAAGUUGAGAGAAGUUUGCACGACGCAAUUAUGAUUGUUAGAAGAGCUAUGAAAAACUCUACUGUUGUUGCCGGUGGUGGCGCGAUUGAUAUGGAGAUUAGCCGUUAUUUAAG
Molecule: RNA transcript, 604 nt
Organism: Ipomoea nil (Japanese morning glory)
Lineage: Eukaryota; Viridiplantae; Streptophyta; Magnoliopsida; Solanales; Convolvulaceae
Gene name: T-complex protein 1 subunit eta-like
Exons: 4
Source: RefSeq, a predicted model, not a curated record